AUUUUCUUUCAUUGUGCAUUGAGAGCCCCCCAGCAGAACAUUGCCUGUGACUAAUCAAGGAAGAUUCUGUUUAGUGUCUUGAUUUUGUUAGUUGAACAAAAUCUGCUUUUUGUACCCAUGCUCUUUUCAGGUUCUGGAAGCCAAAUUUGUUUUCUUGUUUACCGCCAUUGUUUUUGAUCAGCUGGAAAAUUUCCUAUUGGCACACAAUUACUGCAAUGCGAAGCUCCACAAAUAAAGGCCUCUCUGUUUGUCAUUGGACUGCAGUAAAGUGACUCCUGCUGGCACCAGAGACCAGAUCUGGGUCAAAAGCACCUCAAAAACUCUUUAACUCUUUAGAUACUGGCAGGUGGAGCGGUCCUCUGUGCUGAGGUGUAGAGGCCAGAUCUCUUCCUGCUGCCUGAGCUCCACACGAAUACAAAUUAAAAUUCAAAUUGCACUUUAUAGGCAUGACCACGCAUAGGCAAAGUAAUGAACACCCCUCCGUAAAAUGUGCAGUAAGCAAACCAGACUGUAUUUAAGUGUCUGAAAAGCAAAGAAAUGCUACAAUCUGGUAGGCCUCACUAGAUCAACACCAGAUACGCACCAUCUUGUAUUUGUUGUAUGGGUUUGCAGUGUCUUCGCAAUAAAUAAAUGAUGAACACUCUGUCAUGAUGUUUGAUGGCCAAUUCACAGUGUAAAAAUGCCGCUUCCUUGUUAAACUCCAUUGAAUACUUGCAUUCUGCGGUUAGCUAUUAGCUCUUGUUUAACAGUUCCUACAGUGUCACACCCUGUACCCCUCAAACAGUUACUAGAGAGGACCACCUCUUCCUGCAGGGCUCUGGCAAGGUGAUCAUUAAAAGCACUGUAAAACCACAUCACAGUUCUUUAUCAGAGCAAACGUGUGUUUCCUAGCAUUGUGUAAUCCCUCACAUUCGACCCCUUGUUACACACCAGCAUAGGACACUGAUAA
Long non-coding RNA from Anguilla rostrata (American eel), 949 nucleotides. RefSeq lists it as uncharacterized. The transcript is spliced from 2 exons. Lineage: Eukaryota; Metazoa; Chordata; Actinopteri; Anguilliformes; Anguillidae. The record is from RefSeq and is a predicted model, not a curated record.